RNAcentral lists this ribosomal RNA (719 nucleotides) under uncultured bacterium. Its description in RNAcentral is "bacterial SSU rRNA". It matches the Rfam family "Bacterial small subunit ribosomal RNA", at positions 104 to 810 of the family's 1533-position model. The record is from RNAcentral.
GGGUGAGUAACACGUGGGUAACCUGCCCAAGAGACUGGGAUAACACCUGGAAACAGAUGCUAAUACCGGAUAACAACACUAGACGCAUGUCUAGAGUUUGAAAGAUGGUUCUGCUAUCACUCUUGGAUGGACCUGCGGUGCAUUAGCUAGUUGGUAAGGUAACGGCUUACCAAGGCAAUGAUGCAUAGCCGAGUUGAGAGACUGAUCGGCCACAUUGGGACUGAGACACGGCCCAAACUCCUACGGGAGGCAGCAGUAGGGAAUCUUCCACAAUGGACGAAAGUCUGAUGGAGCAACGCCGCGUGAGUGAAGAAGGGUUUCGGCUCGUAAAGCUCUGUUGGUAGUGAAGAAAGAUAGAGGUAGUAACUGGCCUUUAUUUGACGGUAAUUACUUAGAAAGUCACGGCUAACUACGUGCCAGCAGCCGCGGUAAUACGUAGGUGGCAAGCGUUGUCCGGAUUUAUUGGGCGUAAAGUGAGUGCAGGCGGUUCAAUAAGUCUGAUGUGAAAGCCUUCGGCUCAACCGGAGAAUUGCAUCAGAAACUGUUGAACUUGAGUGCAGAAGAGGAGAGUGGAACUCCAUGUGUAGCGGUGGAAUGCGUAGAUAUAUGGAAGAACACCAGUGGCGAAGGCGGCUCUCUGGUCUGCAACUGACGCUGAGGCUCGAAAGCAUGGGUAGCGGACAGGAUUAGAUACCCUGGUAGUCCAUGCCGUAAACGAU